CGGCAGCUUAACACAUGCAAGUCGAGCGGUAACAGAGAUAGCUUGCUAUCUGCUGACGAGCGGCGGACGGGUGAGUAAUGCUUGGGAAUAUGCCUUUGAGUGGGGGACAACAGUUGGAAACGACUGCUAAUACCGCAUAACGUCUACGGACCAAAGGGGGGGAUGCUUCGGCACCUCUCGCUCAUUGAUUAGCCCAAGUGAGAUUAGCUAGUUGGUAAGGUAAUGGCUUACCAAGGCGACGAUCUCUAGCUGGUUUGAGAGGAUGAUCAGCCACACUGGGACUGAGACACGGCCCAGACUCCUACGGGAGGCAGCAGUGGGGAAUAUUGCACAAUGGGCGAAAGCCUGAUGCAGCCAUGCCGCGUGUGUGAAGAAGGCCUUCGGGUUGUAAAGCACUUUCAGCGAGGAGGAAAGGUUAGUAGUUAAUAGCUGCUAGCUGUGACGUUACUCGCAGAAGAAGCACCGGCUAACUUCGUGCCAGCAGCCGCGGUAAUACGAGGGGUGCAAGCGUUAAUCGGAAUUACUGGGCGUAAAGCGUGCGUAGGUGGUUUGUUAAGCAAGAUGUGAAAGCCCCGGGCUCAACCUGGGAACUGCAUUUUGAA
RNAcentral lists this ribosomal RNA (602 nucleotides) under uncultured bacterium. Its description in RNAcentral is "bacterial SSU rRNA". It matches the Rfam family "Bacterial small subunit ribosomal RNA", at positions 40 to 632 of the family's 1533-position model. The record is from RNAcentral.